ACGGGUGAGUAACGCGUGGGAAUCUACCCAUCCCUACGGAACAACUCCGGGAAACUGGAGCUAAUACCGUAUACGCCCUUUGGGGGAAAGAUUUAUCGGGGAUGGAUGAGCCCGCGUUGGAUUAGCUAGUUGGUGGGGUAAAGGCCUACCAAGGCGACGAUCCAUAGCUGGUCUGAGAGGAUGAUCAGCCACAUUGGGACUGAGACACGGCCCAAACUCCUACGGGAGGCAGCAGUGGGGAAUAUUGGACAAUGGGCGCAAGCCUGAUCCAGCCAUGCCGCGUGAGUGAUGAAGGUCUUAGGAUUGUAAAGCUCUUUCACCGGAGAAGAUAAUGACGGUAUCCGGAGAAGAAGCCCCGGCUAACUUCGUGCCAGCAGCCGCGGUAAUACGAAGGGGGCUAGCGUUGUUCGGAAUUACUGGGCGUAAAGCGCACGUAGGCGGAUAUUUAAGUCAGGGGUGAAAUCCCAGAGCUCAACUCUGGAACUGCCUUUGAUACUGGGUAUCUUGAGUAUGGAAGAGGUAAGUGGAAUUGCGAGUGUAGAGGUGAAAUUCGUAGA
This 557-nucleotide ribosomal RNA is filed under the name Rhizobium sp. RDB-183. RNAcentral describes it as "bacterial SSU rRNA". It matches the Rfam family "Bacterial small subunit ribosomal RNA", at positions 102 to 694 of the family's 1533-position model. Lineage: Bacteria; Pseudomonadati; Pseudomonadota; Alphaproteobacteria; Hyphomicrobiales; Rhizobiaceae. The record is from RNAcentral. RNAcentral also lists the same sequence under 26 other names.